UUGAAGCUGAUUCAUCUUAUUCCUGAUUCAUCUUGAUCCCUUCAGUGGCUUGUUCUUGGAUUAGCAAUGUAGAACUGUCCCAAAUGGGUUUAAAGUUGUCAGUACUUGCUCUUGAACAGUUUAAUCUUUUCUCACAAGGAAAAAUUGGUUCUGACCAGUUCAAAUCUAUUUUGACCAGUUUAAGCUAAUUCUGCAGAGCUGGAGCCUGAGGUCGGCAAACCCAGGAAGAUGGCUGAAGACAAUGCUGAUUCAAGCCAAAGCAAGGAAUCAGCACAGGCCAUGGAUACUUCAUUCUUGAAGAAAGUCUUUCACUUUUAUGGGAUUUCCAACUGCCAGAUAUUAACUACUGUACAUAGUUUAUAUCCUUUGUUUUUAUUGCACAUUUGAAUCCUGCUGGUGAAAGCCUCACAUAUCUAUAUCCUCUUGCCAAACAUCUGUAGACUAAUGCCAGGAUCACUUAUACCAAACAAGGUACUGGAAGAUGACUGCUGCUAUAUCUCCUAAUGAUAAUCCAGCUGGGCUAACUAUCUUACUACCAUGAUAUUCCCUUAUAAAAAUUCACUGUACUUCUGCACCUGAACAUUCUCUUUCAGAGCAAUUAUGAUUGCCAAUCUUGCUACCUCCUUGUAUCUCCUAGUUUCACCAAUAUCUUGACAGCAUAUAGAGACAUAUAAAGAGUAUUCUAACCAAUACAAAGGCAUGGGCAAGGGUAUCCAAAUGGGAGACCCCAUUUGGUUCCCCUCCCUACAAUUUUAUAAUAUAUACGAAUGCCAAUUUAUAAACAUUCAUUCCAGUUUUUAUGCUAUGCUUCAUCUGGUAUGACCCUCCACCAUAUAUCCUACUAAUUUAUCCAACCUAAGUAAGAGAAUACAAUUAUAACAUGGAAAAUAUGCCAUAAUCAUGGUGAGACAAUGGCCAGUUUUGGUACCUGGUUCCCUGGAAGGGGUCAAGAUCACAAAAGUAGUCAUAGAAACUCCCUACCACCCCAGGAAUGUAUUAGAUUGCAUUAGGGCUUUCUAUGGGUAAACCUGUAAAAACCCCACUCUGCCUAGGGAAGCAUUUCUUGGGGACAUAUGUUCAUCUCAACUCAGCCUCUUCAUUGGACUAACUUGUCCAAGCAAACACAAACUAUUAAUUUGUAAAAAGUCAGCUGUGGGUGAAGGUGAAAUGCUCUUUUCUUGAGAAUAAUAUGCACUGCUUCUCCUGCUUAGACCUGCUGCUCUUUGUUUCUAACAUCUCUGAACCUCAUUUGGCUUCACACCUCGGCUUUUGAUCCUCAAUUCAUGCCUACUUAAAAGCUUGAUCAGUUACUAUGGAUAUGCAUGUCUGGCUUGAUUUGGCACAUUUCAUCAGACCUGAUGUUUUGUAUUCCUACUCCAGAUCUACACAGUAUACUUGCAUGUGUUUCUCACCAGAGCUGCCAUUCAUCAGAUCUGCCAGGGGGAACAGCCAGUCAGCAUGCUACUACAUUCUAACAACUGGCCCAGGAACUGUUCACAAACCAAAGUCCCAAGGGCAUCUGGACACCAAGCAUUACUUCUAUAUACUGCCAUAAAUGCUAAUUUUCCAGUAGCAUGUCUAGGAAAUAAAUAGGGAAAGACCCUAAAAGGUCCCUGUAUACAUGUCUUAAUUCAGAAAAAAAGAAGGCUGGAACAGAGGAAGCAGGGGUGU
Molecule: non-coding RNA, 1671 nt
Organism: Ceratotherium simum simum (southern white rhinoceros)
Lineage: Eukaryota; Metazoa; Chordata; Mammalia; Perissodactyla; Rhinocerotidae
Source: RefSeq, a predicted model, not a curated record